AUGAAUAUUUUUAUUCCCAUCUGGCCAACCCUUACCCUAAUGAGGAAGUCAAGGAGGAGCUGGCCAAGAAGUGCGCCAUCACUGUUGCUCAGAUAGCCAACUGGUUUGGAAACAAGAGGAUUUGGUAUAAGAAGAAUACUGCAAAGUUCCUGGAGGAAGCUAACCUUUAUGCUACGAAGACAGCGACAAGUGUGUCUUCGCUUUCCAGCCAAGCCAACUCUCCAGCUACACCAAACUCAAGAGCAUACCCAGCAAUAUUUACCCCACCUGAUGGGAGGCUUUGAGGAGUCACUGGAGGUGCUGUUCUUCAUCCUCUCUGUCUCCAUGUGAGUAGUUAGUCUAACACAUUGCUGUUCUAGCCUCAUCUGCUAGAUGUAGAGUAAGAAACAAGGUCAAAGAACAACCACUUGCUUUCUGCAGAGACCUUUGUUUGUGUGUCCCAGGUGCUAUAGCCACUGUACCCAUAUUGCACUGCACUGGCGAGUUUGAACCCCUUUUAGGG
Molecule: long non-coding RNA, 502 nt
Organism: Oreochromis niloticus (Nile tilapia)
Lineage: Eukaryota; Metazoa; Chordata; Actinopteri; Cichliformes; Cichlidae
Exons: 3
Source: RefSeq, a predicted model, not a curated record